This is a non-coding RNA of Phoenix dactylifera (date palm), 321 nucleotides long. NCBI's taxonomy places the organism in Eukaryota, Viridiplantae, Streptophyta, Magnoliopsida, Arecales, Arecaceae. The record is from RefSeq and is a predicted model, not a curated record.
UUAUUAUCUUAUGCGGUAAUCAUUGAUAUUUUUCUGAGUCAGGUAUUAGUUUUAAUGUUUGUUUCUCAUAAUAUCUUGUAGGAGAUUGCCAAUGGUAAUGGUCAUGAGAAGAAGGGAAGCAAGCGACCUUUUACUGAGGAAAGGUUCCUGAUACUUCAUCUGCUCGUAGAAAUGGUGACUCCAUUGAUCCCUGAAGCUUUUAUUUUAAAGUUUUAUAUGCAUUUUUUUAUGCUUUUUGAAGUACAUUGCAAAUGUAAAUUGACAGUAUGAAUGUAAUUUGACAAUAUGAAUGUAAUUUGACAAAAUGAAUGUUUUGAUAAA